AAGGAAUCAAUCUGCACAAUCCUUUAUUUUGAAAAAAAAUCUUACAACUUUUAAAUGAACUUAUACAUAUAUUAAAGCUUUUCUUAAAAAUACAUGCUAAAAAUGAAUGAAAUGUGUUUAAUCUAGCAGCUGGAAAAGUGAUAUCACAGGUAUAAUUAUAAAGAAAAAUAACUGUGUCAUAAAUCUUUAAAAGGAAACGUGACUGAACCAGGUGGGAUUCCAGGAUUUGAAAAGUGACUAAGGUUAUAGGGGAUUUUGAGACCAAGCUGGGUUCAGGAUGAACUUUUCGAAUAGAGCUGGGUUUGGUACAGAAUUUGGGACUGGUCCCAAGGUUCAGGGAAUGAGCAAAAUUUGCGAUUGAGAUUUAGGUUUUAGGGCAGUUUUAAGUGGGUUUAGGAUUGGGAUUUGUAAGUUAGUACAGUGUGGGAGCAAGAUUUGGGGAUUCGGCCAGGCAUGGGAUCAGGAUUAGGCUGGGCGCAGGAUGGGGAUUUGGGAUUAAGCAAAAUGUGGGAUUGAGAUUUGGGUAUUAGGGUGGCCAUGGGAUCGAGAUUUGGGUACUAGGCAAGGUGUCGGAUCAAGAUUCAGGAAUUAGGUUGGGUUUGGGAAUUAAAUUUGCGAUUGGGCUGGUGUGAGAUUGAAAUUUGGGAACUAGGUUGAGUUUGGGAUUAAAAUUUGGGGAACAGGCUGGGUUUGUGAUUACAUUUUCGGGGAUCAGGUUGGGUUUGGGAUUGAGAUUUAGGGAUUAGGUUGAGUUUGAGAUUUGGGGAUUAGGUGGAGUUUGGGAUUGAGAUUUGGGGAUUAAGACAAGUUUCUG
Chiloscyllium plagiosum (whitespotted bambooshark) is the source of this 814-nucleotide non-coding RNA. The record is from RefSeq and is a predicted model, not a curated record. Lineage: Eukaryota; Metazoa; Chordata; Chondrichthyes; Orectolobiformes; Hemiscylliidae.